GCCGCUGUGGCGGAAUUGGCAGACGCAGUAGACUCAAAAUCUGCCGGUAGUGAUACCGUACCGGUUCGAGCCCGGUCAGCGGCA
Molecule: transfer RNA, 84 nt
Filed under: Erysipelotrichaceae bacterium
Lineage: Bacteria; Bacillati; Bacillota; Erysipelotrichia; Erysipelotrichales; Erysipelotrichaceae
Also listed under: 1 other name
Description: tRNA-Leu
Rfam family: tRNA
About the family: Transfer RNA (tRNA) molecules are approximately 80 nucleotides in length. Their secondary structure includes four short double-helical elements and three loops (D, anti-codon, and T loops).
Source: RNAcentral